UUCGAAACUGGCAGGCUAGAGUCUUGUAGAGGGGGGUAGAAUUCCAGGUGUAGCGGUGAAAUGCGUAGAGAUAUGGAGGAAUACCGGUGGCGAAGGCGGCCUCCUGGACAAAGACUGACGCUCAGGUGCGAAAGCGUGGCGAGCAAACAGGAUUAGAUACCCUGGUAGUCCACGCUGUAAACGAUGUCGAUUUGGAGGUUGUGCCCAUGAGGCGUGGCUUCCGGAGCUAACGCGUUAAAUCGACCGCCUGGGGAGUACGGCCGCAAGGUUAAAACUCAAAUGAAUUGACGGGGGCCCGCACAAGCGGUGGAGCAUGUGGUUUAAUUCGAUGCAACGCGAAGAACCUUACCUGGUCUUGACAUCCACAGAACUUUCCAGAGAUGGAUUGGUGCCUUCGGGAACUGUGAGACAGGUGCUGCAUGGCUGUCGUCAGCUCGUGUUGUGAAAUGUUGGGUUAAGUCCCGCAACGAGCGCAACCCUUAUCCUUUGUUGCCAGCGGUUCGGCCGGGAACUCAAAGGAGACUGCCAGUGAUAAACUGGAGGAAGGUGGGGAUGACGUCAAGUCAUCAUGGCCCUUACGACCAGGGCUACACACGUGCUACAAUGGCAUAUACAAAGAGAAGCGACCUCGCGAGAGCAAGCGGACCUCAUAAAGUAUGUCGUAGUCCGGAUUGGAGUCUGCAACUCGACUCCAUGAAGUCGGAAUCGCUAGUAAUCGUAGAUCAGAAUGCUACGGUGAAUACGUUCCCGGGCCUUGUACACACCGCCCGUCACACCAUGGGAGUGGGUUGCAAAAGAAG
Molecule: ribosomal RNA, 800 nt
Filed under: Klebsiella variicola
Lineage: Bacteria; Pseudomonadati; Pseudomonadota; Gammaproteobacteria; Enterobacterales; Enterobacteriaceae
Description: bacterial SSU rRNA
Rfam family: Bacterial small subunit ribosomal RNA
Source: RNAcentral